UUUUUUUUCCUGAGCCAAUUCUAGCCAAUCAUUUUACGUUUCCGAAGAUAGUAGGCGGGGCCAGGUACGUACGUUCUUUCAGAGCAGAGCUACAGAUUAAAAAUGCCCAAGGCGAAGCGGUCAAAAGUCUGGCUGUACUUCACAGCAAAAGGUGCAAACUCAGCAGCCUGCAACAAGUGCUUUAAGCUGAUACUGUGAUACUGUCAAAGGAGGUAACACCUCAAAUCUGAUGAAACACCUGGCGACGCAUAGCGUUUUUUUUUAAAGCCGAGAAAUUUGCCGUGUUUGAUAGCUUGCUGCGAGACCUCACACCGUGCACAUCUACUGCGGGUGUGGUGCCUGUUAGCGGACCUGGAGUUAGCAACAUCCCCCCAAAAGAGUAGAGUCCUGGCCCCUAGCCCUGUCAGCGUAGCAGAAAUGAUGACGGAUGAUGAUGGCAGCAGCAGCAGCCGUUCUCCUCUGCGGAUCACACGCAUGGAGGCAGGCAGUGAAAGCAAACAGUGCAGGCAGGGGCAGUAAGAAAGCAAGGCCCCAGAAAACCUGAUCAAGGAAAAAAUCUGUGACCAUGAGGAAGAUGGAAUACUGAGAGUGCAAGAGUGCUUUGGAAUAGGCAACAAAAUACCUCCUGUCUCCAUUUGCUAACCACUUUUCCUUGAACUCAAUGGAAGAUUUCAUGAAGGGAAGAAAAGGUGUGAAAGAGAAUUUAAGAGGUCUCAAGUAAAGAGAAGCUCAGAGAAUCUGACGGCACUUACCCCAGACUCCCCUGUUGAAACUACAAUAUCCAGAAGAUGGACUACAAAAUGAGCUCAUGGAACUCCGUUUCUCUUCUUUGUUUGGAUUUCUAUGACAGAAGUCAAAUUCCCUCCAUUCGUCACCUAUCACUGAAGCACGUUCAGUCACAUGACUUAACUGGACUUUACAGUCAACUGGGGUCACAAUAUUUUUGCCCAUGAAUACAAUAAUAAUAGAAUAAAUUAAUUUCUUCAUUUCUGUAUCUGUGUACUCCAUGUCUCUGUGUCUAACUUUAUAUAACUUGAAGUCUCACUUUCAAAACACAUGUUAAUCUCAAU
Oreochromis aureus is the source of this 1070-nucleotide long non-coding RNA. NCBI's taxonomy places the organism in Eukaryota, Metazoa, Chordata, Actinopteri, Cichliformes, Cichlidae. The record is from Ensembl.